UUCACUGCAUGUAUUCUCUUAUUUCCAUUGAAGCAGGCAAUUGCAACACUGCUUUCAUGCAUCUUGUGGGAAAAAACAAUUCCAUGAGCUGCAGUGUGAGUCUUUCAAAGGUUCUUUAAAAAAUCAGAAAAGGGAAGUGUCAAAAUAAAGAAGGUUUUCGCAGAGUUUGUCAGUGUGUUUCACAUACUCUGUAGAGCGAGGCACUUGAAGAGGCUGUUAGCUUCAGGAUUGUUUCUUGAAUCGGGUUGUUAUGCGAAACCACAGGCUGGAUUCUCCCGUUCCAUCAAAACAGAUGUUGCCACCAUCCCAAGGACAAGUCUCGUGAAUCUACAUGGAAAUAACAUCUCCUGAGAUAAGGAGACCCAAACUGCACACAGGACUGCAGCAUCACCUGCGUCUUCCUGAAAGAUGUCCAAUUCUCUAACCUACCUCCACACUUUGCUGCUUUGUCUACCUUAAGUUUUGAAUUGGACAAUGCUCAUUGACCACCUUUUGUUAGCCACAGGUAAUUCCGCUUUCUUGUUGGGUUCUGCUUUUUGACCUGAAUUUUUCUUUUUUGUUUUCUCUGCUGGUGUUGAAACUUCUGCUUCCAAAUCUGACACUGCUUAUCCAUGGAGAUUGCCCUUAGUCUCUUUUUGUAACCCCCACUUGUAGUGAUUGGAACAAUGUCAGCCAGCUGGACCUCAUAGAAUAUGAGUUUCCUGUUUGGGGCUAUUAACCUGGUCCUGUCAGGGAAGACCUGGCUUACAGAUAUAAACAGGAGUGUCAGGGAUUCUGCUCAUUCUAAGAGCCAGCUCUGUGCUGGCUGGUUCAGUGUCAUGUACUAAACACAUGUAAAUAAAGGUGACUUGGUGAUGGGA
This is a long non-coding RNA of Rhincodon typus (whale shark), 860 nucleotides long. RefSeq lists it as uncharacterized. NCBI's taxonomy places the organism in Eukaryota, Metazoa, Chordata, Chondrichthyes, Orectolobiformes, Rhincodontidae. The record is from RefSeq and is a predicted model, not a curated record. The transcript is spliced from 3 exons.